UUUUUCCCCCUCGCAGAUGUGAUCAGUCCACCAAUGUUUGAAUUGCUUGAUCACCAAUGACUAAAGCAUGACACCGUGGAACUGAAGAGUAUAAGUGAUCCAGAUUCUGCAGAGGGUAAACUUCGACUUUAUUCACGAUAUCAUUUGAGGAAGGAUUGAAUGGAGUUGACAAACUUCAACAUGGUCAAGUUGU
Molecule: long non-coding RNA, 193 nt
Filed under: Ictidomys tridecemlineatus (thirteen-lined ground squirrel)
Lineage: Eukaryota; Metazoa; Chordata; Mammalia; Rodentia; Sciuridae
Description: lncRNA (ENSSTOG00000031903.1)
Source: RNAcentral